RNAcentral lists this ribosomal RNA (309 nucleotides) under Rodolia cardinalis. RNAcentral describes it as "eukaryotic LSU rRNA". It matches the Rfam family "Eukaryotic large subunit ribosomal RNA", at positions 645 to 918 of the family's 3401-position model. The record is from RNAcentral. Lineage: Eukaryota; Metazoa; Arthropoda; Insecta; Coleoptera; Coccinellidae.
UGACCCGUCUUGAAACACGGACCAAGGAGUCUAGCGUGUGCGCGAGUCAUUGGGAUUCGACGAAACCUAAAGGCGAAAUGAAAGUAAAGGUCAGCCUCGCGCGGACCGAGGGAGGACGAAUGACCAUACACAAGGUCGUUCAGCACUCCCGGGGCGUCUCGUUCUCAUUGCGAGAUGAGGCGCACCAAGAGCGUACACGCUGGGACCCGAAAGAUGGUGAACUAUGCCCGGUCAGGACGAAGUCAGGGGAAACCCUGAUGGAGGUCCGUAGCGAUUCUGACGUGCAAAUCGAUCGUCGGAACUGGGUAU